This 70-nucleotide ribosomal RNA is filed under the name Mentha cervina. Lineage: Eukaryota; Viridiplantae; Streptophyta; Magnoliopsida; Lamiales; Lamiaceae. The record is from RNAcentral.
GUGCUUGGGCGAGAGUAGUACUAGGAUGGGUGACCCCCUGGGAAGUCCUCGUGUUGCACCCCUUUGUUGC